This 879-nucleotide long non-coding RNA is filed under the name Numida meleagris (helmeted guineafowl). RNAcentral's name for it is "lncRNA (ENSNMEG00000010990.1)". Lineage: Eukaryota; Metazoa; Chordata; Aves; Galliformes; Numididae. The record is from RNAcentral.
AUGUUAGGUGCAAACUUGAGCGCUUCAUGGCAUCAGAGCAGAGAUUUUCAGCUCCUUCCCAUCCUCCUUUUCCAUCUCAACACACCGUAUCCCUGCAAUUCCAGGCACGGAGAACCAGUCUCGCUGUGCUGCCAACCCACAUCUGAAGAGCUGGUAGCAUGCCUUCAUGCCAUCAAAACCUUUCCACCUGGAUGUCUCAAUGCAUUUGAGAGAAGAGUUGUGGUGCUCCUGGCUGCAGAUCCGUGGGCAAACAGGCACACACACACACACAGCAGAGUCCCAUCACUCGACAGUCUUGGAAAACGCAAGGACUUCCUGAAAAUGGAAGAGGGCUUUUAUCUAGCCAUCAGCCUUGCUCCAGCUGUGCCAGCCUAUUUCCGUCCAACUCUCGGGCCUUUGUGGAUGAAGUCCAUCAGCCUCGUGGAGCUGGAGCUCAAUCCAGAGCAUCUCAGCAAAGCAGAGCAGCACCUACCUGGAAGGCAGCUCAGGGCACCCGCCAAGCCCUGACCUUGUGAUGGAGACUUAAAUCACGUUCAUCAGGGGUGAGGAGCUGUGGGAUUAACCCCUUGGCUUGCUCCUCACCCCCUUCAGACAGAAAAGCUUUUAAUGGGUCAGCAGAUAAAAAAGCAGCAGUGAAAACAUUCCCUUAUCUCCCCUGCCAUGCCUGGUCUCUGUAAUACAACUGAUUCCUGCGAUGUGCAGACCUACUCAAACAAGUUUAUCUUCAUUCGAGGAAUAGUCAUACAGCGAGAUUGCAGUGUAAUUACCUUCUCACAAACCCUAACUGGAAAUCUUCACAUCCAGUCAUUAGCUUUAAGACAGGCAGACAGGCAAUUAUAUCUGAAUAAAUGACUGAGAAAUGAAUCUGGGAGACUCUCA